This 71-nucleotide transfer RNA is filed under the name Buceros bicornis. RNAcentral's name for it is "tRNA-Val". The record is from RNAcentral. Lineage: Eukaryota; Metazoa; Chordata; Aves; Bucerotiformes; Bucerotidae. RNAcentral also lists the same sequence under 2 other names.
CAAGGCGUAGCUAUAAGACAAAGCAUUCAGCUUACACCUGAAAGAUAUCUGUCCACCACGGAUCGUCUUGA